RNAcentral lists this ribosomal RNA (475 nucleotides) under Aplocheilus panchax (blue panchax). Its description in RNAcentral is "partial 16S ribosomal RNA". It matches the Rfam family "Bacterial large subunit ribosomal RNA", at positions 1923 to 2551 of the family's 2925-position model. The record is from RNAcentral. Lineage: Eukaryota; Metazoa; Chordata; Actinopteri; Cyprinodontiformes; Aplocheilidae.
UUUAACGGCCGCGGUAUUCUAACCGUGCAAAGGUAGCGCAAUCACUUGUGUUUUAAAUGAAGACCUGUAUGAAUGGCAUAACGAGGGCUAAACUGUCUCCUUCUUCCAGUCAAUGAAAUUGAUCUCCCCGUGCAGAAGCGGGGAUACGUCCAUAAGACGAGAAGACCCUAUGGAGCUUAAAACGAAAGAGCAGACCAUGUUAAUACACCUUAAUCAAGAGACCAAACUAAUUGAAACCUGCUCUAGUGUUUUCGGUUGGGGCGACCACGGAGCACAAUAAAACCCCCGUGCGGAAUAAAUGUACUACAUUUUAAAUCAAGAGCAACAGCUCUAAAUAACAGAACUUCUGACCCACAAGAUCCGGCCAGACCGAUCAACGAACCAAGUUACCCUAGGGAUAACAGCGCAAUCCCCUUCUAGAGCCCACAUCGACAAGGGGGUUUACGACCUCGAUGUUGGAUCAGGACAUCCUAAU